CGUCCCUCCGCAGGGCGCAGGCAGCAAACUUUGGCGGCGUCCGCGCGGCGCCGUCUCCGCCGGCGCGCCGGGCUCGCCCCUUUAUAGAGUGUCUGCGCCGCCGCCCGCGCCCCCCCCGCCGCCGCCGCCGGGCGGCCCCUCCCGGAGCGAGCGGCCGCGGGCAGGGCUCCGACCCGGCGCCUUUGUCUCGCCCGGGCCGCUCGGGCGCCGCGCCUCCUGUUCCGGGCGCGCGGGGUCGGCCGGCCGCCUUCGCUGCUCCGCCGCGGCUCUCAGCGCCGCUCAGCGCGGCGGGCCCGCCCGGGCUCAGGUGCCCCCCGCUCUCCGGACCUUCUCGCCCGGCCCCGCGUCCCCUCCGCGGGCUUCCCCCGGCGGCCGGCCGGGCUCGGAGGCUCGCGGCCGGAGCGGAGCGGAGUGCGCACGCCGGGGUGGCAGGACUUCGGCAAGACCAACUUUCCGGUUCGGAAGCGGCGCGGGCCGCGCGGCUCCUCCCCUCCUCUCCCUCCCCUGCGUUCCCCCUCCCUUCCACUCCCCCCUCUCCCCGCCCCCCAACCCGCGGGCCCCACCGACUCCGGAGCGCCCGCCCCGCCCGCUGCUGCCACCGGGCCGCCUCGCCCCCGCGCCAGCCCGCCUGGGCCUCUGCGCCGCCGGCGGCUUCUUAAAUACAGGAAAGGGAGGGGACCGCAGGGCCCCGGUGUUCCCCACCCUAGUCCCCCUUCACCACGGGCCACCGGGCGCCAGCGGAGUGGGCAGCGAGCGCGACCGAAAGUUCCAACUCCACCAAACUCCCGCGCGCGGCCCACCCUUUCCCGGGAUUUCGGGGAUGACACGGGGGCCAGUGGUCCUGUCUGGUGUGAACCGUCAGCACAGAUGGCCUCCUGGAGCUUCCCCGAGUCGUUCGCUGGGGGAAGCGGGCGGUGAGCGGCCAGCCCGGGCGCUCCGCAGGCCGCGAGCUCCCGGCAGGGCUGGUGGCGGGGGUCCGCCUGGGGGAGGAAUCCCCGCCUGCUCCAUCGGACCCGGCCUGGCGCGGCUCGCGGCGCUCGGCGGGCUCCCUUCCAUUCUAGAAUCUUCCCGCUUGCUUCCCAGCCCGCGUUCUUCCGCCUGCCUUUAAUUGUAAGCAGACACAGGUUCCCACGGCGUCUGACGCCUGCGGAGCAAGUCCAGAGCCAGCUGGACUCGCAGCCUCUGGCCCGGCGGCACCAACUCCUCACUGGGUCAUUUUGAGCGCGCUGUGCCCACCUUUUCUGUUGCGUGUGGACGUGGGGAGGAUCUUCUAAGUCCCUCCAACGAAGGCAAGUGUGAGACUCUGGCCCUUUAUUUGUAAGAAGCAAGCCUUCAGAUUGCAGAAGUGUCGCGCGGGUCGCCGUGCGUUGCGCGAGUGGGAAGAUGGAGGAGGCCGGCACGCUGCUUUCGUGGACGCAAGUGAACCGGGCGUGAAGGCAGGGUGCGAGCUCUGCCCUUGGCCCAGCCCUGCGUGGGCGCCGUCCCAGAUUCCGGGCGGUGCGGGGUGCAGAGAUCUGGAGAGACUUGCGGGCUCCCCAGCGCAGGCUGCUCUGGGAUUUCGUUGGAAGAUCCGGCAGAGCCUUGGAGGAGAGGGCCCGGGAGGCUGUGUGUGCAGCGGAAACUUGUACGAAUGCCCCCACAGCGGAAAUGGUGCGCACGAGUAAUUUCUGCGGUGCACCCUUUUAAAAAUUGACAAGUGAACAAGAUCAAUUUUUUAAGAAAGCAAAGGUAGAAAACAAAAGGCGUGCGACUUCUUGACUGGCUUGUUCCCGCCUUUCUUCCUUCUCUAUACUCAGAUCAGAAACUUUUCUUUAAUUGCUCUUAUUCAGUGCGACAACUUUUAAUAAAAGCAUUUGCAUUUUAAGCCUGAGUUGCAACCAUAGAUUUAUUGCGAAGUGACAACGUGUCUAUGGAAUAUUUUCGCAGAUGAGACAGGACAUGCGCUCUAGUCGUGCCCAGAUUAAAGCGACGCUGGGCCAUGUGCCUGUGUAGUGCAGACUCGGAGGGGCACACACAUACUCGUCACCACAUGACCACUGUCUAUUAAUAUUGUCAUACCUAAACACUCGCAAAAACAAAAGUUGCUUUUCUUCCCUGUAAUUAAAUCUAAUUUG
RNAcentral lists this long non-coding RNA (2114 nucleotides) under Homo sapiens (human). RNAcentral describes it as "HSALNT0253726". The record is from RNAcentral. Lineage: Eukaryota; Metazoa; Chordata; Mammalia; Primates; Hominidae.